RNAcentral lists this ribosomal RNA (396 nucleotides) under uncultured bacterium. Its description in RNAcentral is "bacterial SSU rRNA". It matches the Rfam family "Bacterial small subunit ribosomal RNA", at positions 29 to 412 of the family's 1533-position model. The record is from RNAcentral.
AACGAACGCUGGCGGCGCGCCUAAUACAUGCAAGUCGAGCGAGAAGACGUAGCAAUACGUUUGUAAAGCGGCGAACGGGUGAGGAAUACAUGGGUAACCUACCCUCGAGUGGGGAAGUAACUAGCCGAAAGGUUAGCUAAUACCGCGUACGCUCCUUGGACUUCGGUUCAGGGAGGAAAGGCGAUACCGUGGGGUAUCGCGCUCUUGGAUGGGCUCAUGUCCUAUCAGCUUGUUGGUGAGGUAACGGCUCACCAAGGCUUCGACGGGUAGCUGGUCUGAGAGGACGAUCAGCCACACUGGCACUGCGACACGGGCCAGACUCCUACGGAGGCAGCAGUAAGGAAUAUUGCGCAAUGGGCGAAAGCCUGACGCAGCGACGCCGCCGUGGGGGAUGAA